AGGAAUCUGGGAUCAUACACAGUCUACAGAUCAACACCAACUCUCCAUUGUGGUGACCAAGACACAAGACUACAACAUGAAAACCACAUUGAUCCUCGCUGUGAUCGCCACCAGUCUCUUGAUGUUUCAGCUCACUGCAGCUAAAGAUCCAAGCUGUUCCUUACCUAGAAUAGUGGGUCCAUGCAAGGCAUAUGUUCGUCGCUAUUAUUAUGAUCAAAAUUCAGGUCAAUGCAUCGGAUUCAUGUAUGGCGGUUGUAAAGGAAAUAACAACAACUUUUCUGACAGUAGAUCCUGCCAGAUUGCCUGCAAUUGAGUAUAAGGAAACUUAUUGAACUUUACAGAACUUUCAAACCUAAAAAGACCAGAUGAUGUUCCUUCUUAUAUUGUUUACUGAUAUUGUAAUGUGAUAGAAAUUAUUCUGUUCUGUAACAGUUCUGUUCUUUCCAUAAUAAACGAAUGAGUUUUACUUUCU
Molecule: long non-coding RNA, 472 nt
Organism: Rana temporaria (common frog)
Lineage: Eukaryota; Metazoa; Chordata; Amphibia; Anura; Ranidae
Exons: 3
Source: RefSeq, a predicted model, not a curated record